CUUGUUGAGGGCAGAAGCUGUGUGAUUGGCUUCUUUAUGCAGUGGGAACCUGGCCCAGUGCCUUGUGUAUGGGAACCACUUGCCAUAUUUUAGCUGAGUGAACAAAUCUAUAAAUGACAAGUACUGAGAUUCUUUAUGGAGUGCACAUUGACUAGUCAUGGUCAAGAUCUCCUUUUGGAUUCAGGUGACAGCAGGAAGAGCAUGGUCUAAUAAACAGAGAAGGCUCAGGAGGGUCAGAAACACGGUGCCUCAUUUCUCAGCCUACUUGCCAAGAAUUCCCAAAAAGGAAGCACUGGAGGAUCAUUCCAAGGCUUGAGGUCCAGGACUACCCACUUCCCUUGGAAUGGUGUUGCCAUCACUGUUCUGGCACCGGAGGUAAGGAUUCUACAUCGUUAGGAGAAAAGAAAAAGGAGAAUUUGGGCUUGCACUGAGAGGAUUACCUUUGGUGGUCUGGAAGUGGUGAUUGGUGAUAAUGAAACCUACCUUGCUGUUUCAUGUUGAGGAAUCACUGUGAGAAGGGGUUGCAGCAUUGAAGGCACCAUCUUGGAAGCAGAGACUAGACCCUCACCAAGCAAUUAACAUGCUGGUGCAUUGAUCUUGGACUUUCCAGCCUCCAGAACUGUGAGAAAUAAAUUUCUGUUCUUAAUUAAUUACCCAGUCCCAGGUAUUCUGUUAUAGCAGCACAAAGCUUAGACGGGCUCCUUACAUCUUGAGGCUCCAUUAUCUCCUGGGAACUGGGAGUCCUUAGGUUCUAGCCAUGGAAAGAGAAACAAAAGAUGGAGAAGGCACACAUGCUUCUUAAUGGUCGUGGUUCAGAAGUAACAAAUACUAAUUCUAUAUAUUCUACUGGCUCAACACAAAUGCAGGGGUGUGCUGGGAAUGGAGUCUCUGAUUGGGCAGCAGGGAUCAGGGAUCAAAGAUCAGGAAAUAUUCCAGGGUGAAUAUUUUACUAGGUGAGGAGGACCAUGAAUUUUGACAAACAGCCUUUGCUGCUCUACCCACUCCUCAUCAUCACUGUUAGACACAAAGAGAAAUGGCAGCACUUUUUGUCCAUUGAUUGUAACUCUUUCUUUAAAGACUUUUAAGGCAGAAUCUCAAUUCAUCUCUUCUAUGAAACUUUCAUGAUUCAAAGGGAAGUCCCUGCAUGGACACUGCCAGCUUCAUUGCACUUCUGCCUCUAUGCUUUUUCCUGAACCUUCUCCACCUCUGGAACGUACUUCAGGCUGCACAGGGAGCAUGGCUGGGAGGCCUCAGGAAACUGACAAUCAUCAGUAGAAGAUGAAGAGGAAGGAGGCGCAUCUUACAUGGCCAGAGAAGGAGGAAGAAUAAGAAGGGAUUCUCCAGCUGGAGCCCUAUAAAUUGGACUGACAAAAGACAGAUUAGCAAGAGAAAUGCAAGCAGCAGUUUAUUAACAUGUGCAUCAUGAUUACACAUGGAAGUACCCAGAGGUCAUAAGACCUCAUGUGACAAGUGCCCUCCUUACUCCCAGAGAAAAGGAAGGAAGACACAGAAACACCACGAAGAAUAUGGACAAACAGACCUUGCUAAGUUCCCCCCCAUUUAUUACCAUGACAUCAUACUCCCUUUGUCCAAUCACACUUUCAUCAAACCUGAGCAUGAAAAUACACAGGUUUCUCUGUUUGGGGGGUGGGUCUUCAUUUUUGAAGUUUCCAUGUCAUGUAAAACUUAUAUUAAAGAAAUGUGUAUGUUUUACCCUUGUUAAUUU
This 1726-nucleotide long non-coding RNA is filed under the name Homo sapiens (human). RNAcentral's name for it is "HSALNT0101748". The record is from RNAcentral. Lineage: Eukaryota; Metazoa; Chordata; Mammalia; Primates; Hominidae.